This 415-nucleotide long non-coding RNA is filed under the name Lathyrus oleraceus (garden pea). Its description in RNAcentral is "Pisum sativum (pea) long non-coding RNA (PSAT_LNC017533)". The record is from RNAcentral. Lineage: Eukaryota; Viridiplantae; Streptophyta; Magnoliopsida; Fabales; Fabaceae.
AUUGCCAUGAUGAAAUGCAAAUGCUAAAUGACCUAAAAAUGAAUGCAUGCAUGAGGUGUAAAGCGUAUGCUUCAAGGAAAAAUGAAGGGUAAAUUUUGGGGUAUUACAGCUGCCCCUAUUCAAUCAACUAGAGACCUGGAAAGAAGAUAGCAGCGACUUUCGUGCUUUCGAGGUAUCAAGGAAUUGAAUACAAUAAAAGCCCGAAAAUUUGCACUGAAGUGAAGUGAAGUAACAAUGCCUGUCAGAAUCGGCAAAGAGGUGGUCUUGAGAGAAGAAUUCGUCUGGUACGGUGAGAGUCAGUCUGAAUACCGAAAAAGAAUGUUAACCUGGAUACCAAAAUAAAUGGUCACACAUAAAUAACCAUGGCCUGAAUGCCGCUCAUCAGUCUGAAUGCUGGAAAUGACUUCGAUCUGAG